AGCGAACGCUGGCGGCAGGCCUAACACAUGCAAGUCGAACGAACCCUUCGGGGUUAGUGGCGGACGGGUGAGUAACACGUGGGAACGUGCCCUUUGUUCGGAACAACUCAGGGAAACUUGAGCUAAUACCGGAUGUGCCCCCUCCUUUGACUAGGGGGCGGGAAGAUUAUCGCCAUUGGAGCGGCCCGCGUCUGAUUAGCUAGUUGGUGGGGUAAGGCCCACCAAGGCUUCGAUCAGUAGCUGGUCGUGAGAGGAUGAUCAGCCACAUUGGGACUGAGACACGGCCCAAACUCCUACGGGAGG
This 303-nucleotide ribosomal RNA is filed under the name uncultured bacterium. RNAcentral describes it as "bacterial SSU rRNA". It matches the Rfam family "Bacterial small subunit ribosomal RNA", at positions 29 to 348 of the family's 1533-position model. The record is from RNAcentral.